Molecule: unclassified non-coding RNA, 367 nt
Filed under: fungal sp.
Lineage: Eukaryota; Fungi
Description: partial internal transcribed spacer region
Rfam family: Eukaryotic small subunit ribosomal RNA (bases 1-46)
Source: RNAcentral
AAGUCGUAACAAGGUUUCCGUAGGUGAACCUGCGGAAGGAUCAUUAACACGUAUCCAACGUUAAACCCCCCCGUGAAUAUUAAGCGUGCUCUUACAUCCUUGCACAACAGCAAUCUCUGGUAAAUCAUGUCGAACGGUUUGAUUCAGAGACCUCUGGCUUGUGCGAUGACGGCGGAAGCUAAAGGUGUAAUCGAGCGCUAGGUUCAGUGGUUUGGUCUUCCCCUCAAACCACUUCAAUGAAUGUCAGUGUCAUUGAAGUGUGAUGGGGAAGUCGCUUAACGACGCUGUAGGCUCACACGAGCCAGGCCCUUCUGUCGUGGUUGGGCGUAAAAACGAACAACUGUUAACAAUGGAUAUCUUGGUUCUC